This 69-nucleotide transfer RNA is filed under the name Ruditapes philippinarum (Manila clam). RNAcentral describes it as "tRNA-Ser". The record is from RNAcentral. Lineage: Eukaryota; Metazoa; Mollusca; Bivalvia; Venerida; Veneridae.
AGGGCUCUAUUAAAUGGUAAAAAGUUACUUUGAACUUAACUUAGAGGUGUUCGACUCACCUGGGAGCUU